Molecule: unclassified non-coding RNA, 325 nt
Filed under: Hevea brasiliensis (rubber tree)
Lineage: Eukaryota; Viridiplantae; Streptophyta; Magnoliopsida; Malpighiales; Euphorbiaceae
Source: RNAcentral
UGCUGUGGUUGUGGUGGUGGUAGUGGCGGUUGGGGUGGGGACUAUAUUUGUAGCAGCUGGCUCUUCUGUCACAGUUGCACCAGAAGAAGAUGAAUCUCCUUGAGAACUUUUGAAAUCACCAAAUCCUCUAUAAACCCUAGGCACAGACUCGAUCAAUUGAGGUGCACCCUCUUCUUCACGCCCUCUCUUUUGUCCACUCCAGAAACCAGAUCCAGAAGUAGAGGAAUAAGCAGACAAAGGAGGUGAAGAAGAAGAAGAAGAUGAAUAAACACCAGCUGGAGAAAUAACACCAAUACCUCCAUAACUAGAUGUUAUUGCACCUCCU